GCCGGGGUAGCUCAGCGGUAGAGCACGCGGCUGAAAACCGCGGUGUCGGCGGUUCGACUCCGCCCCCCGGCACCA
This 75-nucleotide transfer RNA is filed under the name Pseudomonadota bacterium. RNAcentral's name for it is "tRNA-Phe". It matches the Rfam family "tRNA". Rfam says of the family: Transfer RNA (tRNA) molecules are approximately 80 nucleotides in length. Their secondary structure includes four short double-helical elements and three loops (D, anti-codon, and T loops). RNAcentral also lists the same sequence under 2 other names. Lineage: Bacteria; Pseudomonadati; Pseudomonadota. The record is from RNAcentral.